GACGAACGCUGGCGGCGUGCUUAACACAUGCAAGUCGAACGGAAAGGCCCUGCUUUUGUGGGGUGCUCGAGUGGCGAACGGGUGAGUAACACGUGAGUAACCUGCCCUAGACUUUGGGAUAACUUCAGGAAACUGGGGCUAAUACCGGAUAGGAGCUCCUGCUGCAUGGUGGGGGGUGGAAAGUUUCGGCGGUUGGGGAUGGACUCGCGGCUUAUCAGCUUGUUGGUGGGGUAGUGGCUUACCAAGGCUUUGACGGGUAGCCGGCCUGAGAGGGUGACCGGCCACAUUGGGACUGAGAUACGGCCCAGACUCCUACGGGAGGCAGCAGUGGGGAAUAUUGCACAAUGGGCGGAAGCCUGAUGCAGCAACGCCGCGUGCGGGAUGACGGCCUUCGGGUUGUAAACCGCUUUCGCCUGUGACGAAGCGUGAGUGACGGUAAUGGGUAAAGAAGCACCGGCUAACUACGUG
Molecule: ribosomal RNA, 468 nt
Filed under: uncultured bacterium
Lineage: Bacteria
Description: partial 16S ribosomal RNA
Rfam family: Bacterial small subunit ribosomal RNA
Source: RNAcentral